CCCACAGGGAGAUUGCCUUAGAACGGCGAGUGAAGCGGCAAAAGCUCAAAUUUGAAAUCUGGCACCUUCGGUGUCCGAGUUGUAAUUUGAAGAAGGUAACUUUGGAGUUGGCUCUUGUCUAUGUUCCUUGGAACAGGACGUCACAGAGGGUGAGAAUCCCGUGCGAUGAGAUGCCCAAUUCUAUGUAAAGUGCUUUCGAAGAGUCGAGUUGUUUGGGAAUGCAGCUCUAAGUGGGUGGUAAAUUCCAUCUAAAGCUAAAUAUUGGCGAGAGACCGAUAGCGAACAAGUACAGUGAUGGAAAGAUGAAAAGAACUUUGAAAAGAGAGUGAAAAAGUACGUGAAAUUGUUGAAAGGGAAGGGCUUGAGAUCAGACUUGGUAUUUUGCGAUCCUUUCCUUCUUGGUUGGGUUCCUCGCAGCUUACUGGGCCAGCAUCGGUUUGGAUGGUAGGAUAAUGACUAAGGAAUGUGGCUCUACUUCGGUGGAGUGUUAUAGCCUUGGUUGAUACUGCCUGUCUAGACCGAGGACUGCGUCUUUUGACUAGGAUGUUGGCAUAAUGAUCUUAAGCCACCCCCCCCGAAAAACAAAACCAAAAAAUUAAAAAAAACUAAAAUAAAAUUUUGGUGAUAAUUUUAACUCUGAAUUACCCGGUCGAU
This 654-nucleotide ribosomal RNA is filed under the name Debaryomyces hansenii. RNAcentral describes it as "LSU rRNA". It matches the Rfam family "Eukaryotic large subunit ribosomal RNA", at positions 65 to 1495 of the family's 3401-position model. The record is from RNAcentral. Lineage: Eukaryota; Fungi; Ascomycota; Pichiomycetes; Serinales; Debaryomycetaceae.